RNAcentral lists this ribosomal RNA (253 nucleotides) under uncultured bacterium. Its description in RNAcentral is "partial 16S ribosomal RNA". It matches the Rfam family "Bacterial small subunit ribosomal RNA", at positions 524 to 776 of the family's 1533-position model. The record is from RNAcentral.
UACGUAGGGGGCAAGCGUUGUCCGGAUUUAUUGGGCGUAAAGAGCUCGUAGGCGGUUUGUUAAGUCGGUCGUGAAAGCCCGGGGCUCAACCCCGGAGGGUCGACCGAUACUGGCAGACUAGAGUACAGAAGAGGUAACUGGAAUUCCCGGUGUAGCGGUGAAAUGCGCAGAUAUCAGGAGGAACACCAAUGGCGAAGGCAGCUCGCUGGAAUGGUACUGACGCUGAGGCGCGAAAGCGUGGGGAGCAAACAGG